Molecule: long non-coding RNA, 1768 nt
Organism: Eurytemora carolleeae
Lineage: Eukaryota; Metazoa; Arthropoda; Copepoda; Calanoida; Temoridae
Exons: 4
Source: RefSeq, a predicted model, not a curated record
UCCUGUUCUAGAUACAAUACAGUGAAACGAGAACCUUCAACAAUUAUAAGACAAGAUAGAAGAAGUGCUUCUCCUAGACUCAGUGCAGAAUUCUAGAACUGACAUUCUAGAUAAUCUAGACACUAGACAAUACAACAAGUUUUAAUAUAGAUCUAGAUUACAAUCUAGAACUCCAUCUAGAGUUAUUUGUUUACUAAAAGCAAAACUGACGAUCCAAAACGCAUUGUGAAUUUAUAAACAAAGAUGAUGUCUUCAAAUUAGGUAUUUUCUGAAGACCCCAUGGGGUUUAUGUACACUACCUAUGCGGUGUACCGUUGUACAGUGAACACGUGAAAAUCCUCCAAAACUGUUGUGAAAUGAUCUCUCAAAUCCUCCGGUAAAAAGUUGUACUCAGAGCUUAAAAUAUGUUAAACCUGACAAAGUCACACAAAUUAGAAAUCAGGUUUAAAUUACGUGAUAUUUACGAAGAAUUCAUUUUGAUUGAGUAAACGUGAGUAUUUAAGAGUAUUGACCUAAUAUUCAUUGGCAUACGGGAUCAUUCGCGAGUACUUACGAAUAUUCAUUGGAAUAAGUGAAUAUUAGAGUAUUUACAGAAUAUUCACGUGAGUAUGUGAGUAUUCAUUCAUGAGUAUUUACGGAAUAUUCACGGGCAUACGUGAGCAUUCAAGAGUAUUCGUGAGAACAUAUAAAAAUACUCACGUAUAAUAUUCAACUUGUAUUUCUAAAACUCAAAAGGACUAAAACGAAUAAAUCUGAAGUGCCAUAUUCUAUUAUCUAUACAUUAACAUCUAAGUGUUGUUGAUGCUUGAAAAGCCCUUGAAACCUCCUUGUCAGGCUACACUAGGCAAACAGUCAAACAUAUUUCAUAAUAAUCCUGUAAAUAAGUUUAAUACGCAUAAUAUAAGCGUACAUCAUUUUAUUGAUAAAUCUUCAAGAUCUGAGAUUUGCAUUGCUACAAGAUUACAUAUGACGCAAUUUGGUUUUUUUGUAAUACCAUGAGCGAAAUUAUUGGAAAAUGGGGUAAAUAGAUCAAAAUGAGAAACAAUAGAACCUUUAUAUAAACCUUGGCUUACUACUAACGUAAACUGCACUUCUGGUUGGAAUGUUAACAAACAUUCCCUCCAGUAUCUGCAGUACACUUAAAGAAACCAAAGAUAGAAGGAUUUCUGGUGUAUCUUCCUGUUAUUAAGAUUAGCAUGGUUUAAAGAUUCAUUUUCAACAUUCAGGACACUUUUGGACGACCCUAAAAGCCCAAAAAACUUGAAUGUUAAAAAUGGAUUAAAAACGAUGUUUGUUCUAACCUAGUUUAGUUAAAUAGUUAAUCUUCAUAUUGCAGCUCUAGUCCCCUUUAUACUGGGUUUAAACCAAUAAAUGCAUCACGCUUUAAAAUGAUAAUAUUUUCAAACUAUCUAAUAUCGAUUCAGAGAUUGUCAGCCCAAUCUUAAAAGCGACCCUUCAUCCAAAGAUUGUCAAAAAGGGAUUAACGAUGAUAUCUUUUUAACUUUUAUCAAUCAAAACUUCAUAGAAAUUAUUAAUAAUCAUCCAGUAUCAAUUCCCUCCAUCUACCCACCCCUAGCAUAAAUUUUUAUAUUUGUACUUUUUACUGUGUCGCCGUUUUAUACAUUUUAAAUAUUUCAUGUUUCCUUGUUGUAAGCUCGUUCUAUGUACAAUGCAAUUUUAUUAUUUUUUAACGAAUUUAGCUAAAUGAGUCUUGUAAUAAAUACAUGGUAUUUAUUAAUAUGAAAUAUAUAUAUAUUUAUAUAACAAU